RNAcentral lists this ribosomal RNA (315 nucleotides) under Triticum aestivum (bread wheat). RNAcentral describes it as "partial small subunit ribosomal RNA". Lineage: Eukaryota; Viridiplantae; Streptophyta; Magnoliopsida; Poales; Poaceae. The record is from RNAcentral.
AUGGGAGGAUUGGGAGUGAUUGAUCUUCAUCGUCACGGUAUUGCCCUUAGGAUGAGGUGGGAGUGGCUGAAGAGAUCUGAUGACAACAGACCGUGGCAAGGCCUCAAUUCUCUCGUGGACAAGGAUGUAAGCUCGGCCUUCUCGAGUCUGGUCCAUUGGCAGGUAGGAGACGGCACCAAGGCUCUCUUCUGGAAGGAUAGAUGGGUGAGGGGAUCGACAGUGAAGGAGCUGGCACCCAUGUUGGUGGCCAAGGUUAAAACUCAGGUUAUCAACAGACGGUCGGUCAAGGAUGGAUUGUAUUACAGGCCUGGAUGA